AGUGGGAGCACAGGUUUACCUGUGUGACUGCGUACCUUUUGUAUAAUGGGUCAGCGACUUAUAUUCUGUAGCAAGGUUAACCGAAUAGGGGAGCCGGAGGGAAACCGAGUCUUAAUUGGGCGUUAAGUUGCAGGGUAUAGACCCGAAACCCGGUGAUCUAGCCAUGGGCAGGUUGAAGGUUGGGUAACACUAACUGGAGGACCGAACCGACUAAUGUUGAAAAAUUAGCGGAUGACCUGUGGCUGGGGGUGAAAGGCCAAUCAAACCGGGAGAUAGCUGGUUCUCCCCGAAAGCUAUUUAGGUAGCGCCUCGUGAAUUCAUCUCCGGGGGUAGAGCACUGUUUCGGCUAGGGGGCCAUCCCGGCUUACCAACCCGAUGCAAACUGCGAAUACCGGAGAAUGUUAUCACGGGAGACACACGGCGGGUGCUAACGUCCGUCGUGAAGAGGGAAACAACCCAGACCGCCAGCUAAGGUCCCAAAGUCAUGGUUAAGUGGGAAACGAUGUGGGAAGGCCCAGACAGCCAGGAUGUUGGCUUAGAAGCAGCCAUCAUUUAAAGAAAGCGUAAUAGCUCACUGGUCGAGUCGGCCUGCGCGGAAGAUGUAACGGGGCUAAACCAUG
This 620-nucleotide ribosomal RNA is filed under the name Salmonella enterica. RNAcentral's name for it is "partial 23S ribosomal RNA". It matches the Rfam family "Bacterial large subunit ribosomal RNA", at positions 572 to 1191 of the family's 2925-position model. Lineage: Bacteria; Pseudomonadati; Pseudomonadota; Gammaproteobacteria; Enterobacterales; Enterobacteriaceae. RNAcentral also lists the same sequence under 1 other name. The record is from RNAcentral.